This 2668-nucleotide long non-coding RNA is filed under the name Trifolium pratense (red clover). Its description in RNAcentral is "long non-coding RNA (TPRA_LNC003245)". The record is from RNAcentral. Lineage: Eukaryota; Viridiplantae; Streptophyta; Magnoliopsida; Fabales; Fabaceae.
UUACAUUAUAUUAUGUUGAUUUCAUAAUUGACCAAGCCUUACAAUAGGCAUACUACAAGUGUAUAUUGUGAAGAAUAUUUUCUUUUGCAUAAAAAGAGAAGUACUAAUGUAAUUUAAAUAUAUUUUUGAAUUGCAGAAACAACUUUGUCUUUUAAAUAUUAUUGUAUCUAGAAAUUUGGUUGAUAAAAUUCCCUCCAAAAUUUUGCCUAGGCUCUCUAAUAUUACUGGAAUCGCCACUGACUAUACUAUACUAUACUAUACUAUAGUAAUACUUUUGUUUUGUGCAUUCUGUAGUUGAUACACAUCCAAUCUUAUAGCAAUUUCAUUUCCCAUUCAAUUGACUAAAAGCAUCAGCAGCAUGACGAUCCAUUCUGUAGUGAUACAGAAACUGCUUAGCACCAAUGCCCACAUUGGCCGUCAAGUCGUCACUCAUCAUUUCAAAGAAUACACUUACGGCCUCCGCAACAAAAUGGCCAUUAUCGAUUCCGAUAAGACCUUGAUUUGCAUGCGUAGUGCCUUCAAUUUCAUCUCUUGCCUCGCCCGCCAAAACGGANNNNNNNNNNNNNNNNNNNCUCUUCGAUGAAAUCUUUGACCUUAUGACCAAAAAAGUCGGCUGCUACAGCCCUUCUUCCAGUUCUCUCUGGCGCACCGGCGGAUUCCUCACCAACAGCAACAGUCCCAAAAAGUUUCGCUCUCGCAACAAGAAGCUCUGCUUCGGUCCCACUCAGCCUCCCGAUUGCAUUGUCAUUGUCGACACUGAGAGCAAGUCUUCUGUCAUUGACGAGGCUUUCAAACUUCAGAUUCCAAUUGUAGCUCUCGUCGAUUCUGCCAUGCCACUCCAUACUUUUAGCCGCAUUGCUUAUCCAAUACCUGUUAACCCGUCUGUUCAAUUUGUCUAUCUCUUCUGUAAUUUGAUUACCAAAACACUGCUUCUUGAGAAGAAGAACUUGCAGCUCUCUAAUCCCAAAAUUGAUGAUCGGUAUACUACUUUACCUUACCUCAUUCUACUGUUUUCUUUUAUCACUUCUUGUGAAUGAUUCCAUUACUAUUAUUAUUUUGAACUGUAAAAGAGAAGAAGCUACCAAAAUUGAAGAUAACAAGCGGAAGAAUAAUCUGGCUAAGGUCGGCAUCACUGUUAUGCCCUACGAUAAAUUGGCACCCUUGCCCGAAGGUAAACCAUAAUUUGAGAACUUUGUGCCUUCUGUUUUCUCUAUGACCAUCUUUAUUGUCUUUUUCCCUAUUUGUUCAAAGUAGUAGUGAGUAAUUUCACAUUGAAAGCAGAUAUAGAAGAUAUGAAGAAACUUUUGGACAAGCUUGUUAUUUUGAAGGUCAAUCACGACUCCGGAAGAAAUAUGGGUUUUGAAAACCCUAAGUAAGCAUUCGUCCAACUCCUCAAAUUCACUAUCCAUCUAAAUUAGAAAUGUCACACAUAUGUUAUUUUAUGUCUGUAUAUGCAUGAUAAUGUUCAUUGGCUUUGUUUGAGUAGUGUAUUGUUUUAUAUAGAAUUUCCCAUGUUGAAAUCACACAAUCAUUUUCGCACCCUUGUUUUAUAUAGAAUUUCCCUUGAUUAUUCAAAAUGUCACAGUCGACGAAUUUAACUGAUGACACUUAUGUUUCAUGUAGAUCCACAAUAGAUAUUUGUGAUGGACAGACAUUUCUAGACAUGAUUGUUAACCAGAUUGAGGUCAGACAUUUAUACUUGAUGUAGAAGUUAUGGUUCUCACACAUACUUCAAUUAUCAUUUUUCUAUGCAAGCAAUUUGUUUAUUCCUUGGGGAUUAAUAGCCUGCUAGUCUGCUAAAAAAAAUUAGCAGUUGUCCAGAUAGUGCAAAUACAUUUUUUUUUUUGUGACUAUUUUACUGUUGUAAUUUUUUGUAGACCCUCAACUCCAAGUAUGGAUGCCAAGUUCCAUUGCUUAUUUUUGACAAAGAUGACACUCACGAUAGUACUUUAAAGGUGAAAUGGCGUUUCAAUUUCUUCCAUAUUUGAUUGUAUCAUUACCUUGGCUAUUAUUGAAGUUUUCAGCUUGGCCUUCAUCAUCUUCCAUAGGUUUUGGAAAAGUAUUCGGAAUCAAGCGUUGAUGUGCGCACUUUUAAGCAGGUUUGCAUUUGUUCCAUAUUUUGGAUCAAUUGAUAUUGAACUGCGUUUUCUCUUGACCAUUACAUCAUAAUCUAUAUAGGGUGAAGAUCCAGAGCUAACAUCAUCAGGUGGGCAUCGCAGCAAGGAGGAAGUGUAUGUCAUCUUUCAAACAUCUGUCUCUUAAAUUGAAUUUUAGAUGUUCAUAUGCACACUUGUAGAUAAGAGAUAUAAGUUUCAACGCUAAAUGUUACUAUUAUUAGGGACAUUUCAUUCAAUAAUAUUAAGAUUACAAUUACUUUCACGUGCCCUAGUUGUUAACAGCAGAAAUUUAGAUGCAUACACUAAGCUUAGACCCGCAUAGAAGCUACUUUAUUUUUAUUUUUAAUUAAUAUUUUUUUUUGGGCAUUGUUGAAGGCAUACAUGCUUACUCCCAAGAAUUAGGUUUAGGUGCACGUUAUGUUUAAACCAGCAUCUGCAUAAGGUUUGACAUAAAGAAAUUAAAGCAUGUCAUAAUUUAUCUACUAAUUUCCUUUAGUUAGUCAUGAAACCAUGAUAUGUUCACAUAUGAAGCACGGACACCUCUAUGAUUA